CCCUUCAUCAUUGCAUUUUAAUUAGAAAUAAUUCAAGUUUGAUUAUUUUUAUUGAUCGAAUCUAAUAUAUGCAGGUCAAGUCAAAUUCAUUUAUUUUUGAAUCCAAAUCGCACGUACCUUGCAAAUUAGAUCAUCUCAGAUUUCGAUUCAGUCAUUUAUCCCAACCCCCCUGCAUUCAGGACAUACAUCUAGAAUCAAAUAUGGACUGAAUCCCAUGCAUCCUCAUCCCAUCGGAAUUAAUUCCAUCGCCCAUGGAUUAAGCCCAUCCUUAUUCACAAGCUCCCAGCCGAUUAUACAACUCAUCCCUUGUCUCUUCUUCGGAACAGAAUCCCAGCAUCUUCAAAACAGAAACCAUCUUCCUAGCCACGUUCUUCCCUUCCGCAUCCAAAGCUUCCACAUCGUUCCAUCCUUAUCAUAUCUCCCAACCAACUCCAAGCUUGAUCCCAUUGUGAUCUUCUCUUCUCCCGUUCGGAUCAAGCAACCAACAUUCCCCUGUUUCACAUCCCGUUUGUAAUCAUGCUCUUCUCGAUUGCAUCCCAUGAUUCUCUCCUUCCUAGAUUUCCUCCAAAUCUAGCAACACCCUCCCAGCCGUUCCAAGCUCCCGAGUUCAUCCUUAUCCACGGAUUCAUCCCAGCGUCUGUGAGUUCCUCCCAGCAUCCUCCUCUUCCAGCUUGAUUCCAGCUCCCCUGUUACGCGUAGCAUCCCGUCUUCAUCACAUUCCGAACUCCCAGAUUUCUUCCCAACAGAUCAAUCCUUCAUCUCUUACUAAAAAUCUCUUCUUCCCAGCGUCAUCGUCAACUUCUCAUCCAAACCANNN
This 817-nucleotide long non-coding RNA is filed under the name Phoenix dactylifera (date palm). Its description in RNAcentral is "long non-coding RNA (PDAC_LNC007781)". Lineage: Eukaryota; Viridiplantae; Streptophyta; Magnoliopsida; Arecales; Arecaceae. The record is from RNAcentral.